RNAcentral lists this ribosomal RNA (468 nucleotides) under uncultured bacterium. Its description in RNAcentral is "partial 16S ribosomal RNA". It matches the Rfam family "Bacterial small subunit ribosomal RNA", at positions 28 to 507 of the family's 1533-position model. The record is from RNAcentral.
GACGAACGCUGGCGGCGUGCUUAACACAUGCGAGUCGAACGGAAAGGCCUGCCUUUCGUUGUGGACUGGGGGGGCGAAAGUGGCGAAAGGGUGAGUAACACGUGAGUUAGCUUUUGGGAACAUGGGAAGAAGCUGGGGAAAAUGGCGGAAAUGAGCUCCUGCUGCAUGGGGGGGGUCGGAAGGUGUAGGCGGUUGGGGAGGGAGUCGGGGCUUAUCAGCGUGCUGGUGGGGUAGUGGCUUAGCAAGGCUCUGACGGGUAGGCGGCCGGAGAGGGUGGCCGGCCACACUGGGAAGGAGAUAAGGCCCGGACGCCUACGGGAGGCAUGAGUGGGGAAUGUUGCCCUAUGGGAGGGAGGCUGAGGCAGCAACGCCGGGUGCCGGAUGACGGCCUUCGGGUUGUAGACCGCUUUCGCCUGGGUCGAAGCGUGAGUGACGGUAGUGGGUAAAGAAGCACCGGCUAACUACGUG